Molecule: ribosomal RNA, 468 nt
Filed under: uncultured bacterium
Lineage: Bacteria
Description: partial 16S ribosomal RNA
Rfam family: Bacterial small subunit ribosomal RNA
Source: RNAcentral
GAUGAACGCUAGCGGCGUGCUUAACACAUGCAAGUCGCACGGAAACGCCCUGCUUUCUUGCGAUGCUCGAGUGCCGCACGCGUGCGUAACACGUGAGUAUCCUGCCCUUGCCUUUGAGAUAACUUCAGCCAGCUGGGGCUAAUACCGGUUCGGAGCUCCUGCUGCUUGGUGGGGGUUGUUAAGUUUCGGCGGUUGGGGAUGGACCCGCGGCUUAUCUGCUUGUUGGUGGGGUAGUGGCUUACCAAGGCUUUGACGGGUAGCCGGCCUGAGAGGGUGACCGGGCACAGUGGGAGUGAGAUACGGGAGAGAGUACUACGGAAGGCAGCAGUGGGGAAUAUUGCACGAUGGGCGGAAGCAGGAUGCAGCAACGCCGCGUGAGGGAUGACGGCCUUCGGGUUUUAAACCGCAUUCGGGUGUGACGGAGCGUGUUUGAAGGUAAUGGAUAAAGAAGGACCGGCUAACUACGUG